GUUUAUUCAAAUGAAUACCAGACUCCUCUGAGGACGAAGACAUUUCAAGCCAUGGUCACAAAGAGUUUUCCAAAUGGCUAUACCGUUGAAACUGUUAUUGAUGGAAAACCCCUUCGUGGAUUAGUAUUUUCCUCCAAACCAAGACCUGAACAGACUCCCUGUAAUGAUCCUAUCAGGAAUAUGGGAAAUGGUGAAACUGAUAGAGAAAAGCAGAAUGGCGACCAUAAUUCUGUUAGAGAAGCUACAAGACCUUCAGAAACCAAUGUGAGCGACUUCCAGCAAGCAGAUAUCUUAGGUGGGAAUUCUAUCAGAAAUGAGCCUCCAGUUGGAGGUGCUACAGCUCAAAUGGAGAGUCCGUUGACCUCUUAUGCUCCACCUGCCCAUGAGGUUCGUAAUGUGUCCGAUGUUGUGAAUUUGGGAAGUGGUAUGCUUACUGAUGCAGUCGAUGGUGGUACUAAGGUGUCUAAGGAGAAUUCUUCUGCAACUAAUGACUCUUGAAUCCUUUAUUUAAGAAUCAAACAGCUUGGAAAAAGAUUUUCUCAAUCAAAUUAUUUGAGAUAAGAAUCAAUGUAACACCGAUUAGCCUUGUGCAAUUUUAUGGAGAUGGCGGAGGGAAUUAAUUCACUUCAU
This 630-nucleotide unclassified non-coding RNA is filed under the name Hevea brasiliensis (rubber tree). Lineage: Eukaryota; Viridiplantae; Streptophyta; Magnoliopsida; Malpighiales; Euphorbiaceae. The record is from RNAcentral.